Molecule: ribosomal RNA, 253 nt
Filed under: uncultured bacterium
Lineage: Bacteria
Description: partial 16S ribosomal RNA
Rfam family: Bacterial small subunit ribosomal RNA
Source: RNAcentral
GACAGAGGAGGCAAGCGUUGUCCGGAGUCACUGGGCGUAAAGCGUUCGUAGGUGGUUUGACAAGUCUGGGGUUAAAGCCCGGAGCCCAACUCCGGAUCGGCCCUGGAAACUGUCAGACUUGAGUAAGGUAGGGGUUGCGGGAAUUCCCGGUGUAGCGGUGAAAUGCGUAGAUAUCGGGAAGAACACCAGCGGCGAAAGCGCGCAACUGGGCCAUUACUGACACUGAGGGACGAAAGCUAGGGGAGCGAAUGGG